CUCUCUCUCUCUCUCUCUCUCUCUCUCUCUCUCUCGAUUCUACUCACAGGAGCUUCCUCUCCCCUCACCCCUCUCUCUCAAUACUCUGCCACCUUUGACGAUUCCAUGAUGACGACACUAUGACGAUGAUGUUGACUGGGGUUAGGGUUUUGCAACAACGAGGUAUGCCUCCCCCUCCCUCUCCUUCUCCUGCCCACUCUCUUUCCCUCCCCCUAGUUCCAGUGCACCUCAACUCAAUACGGUACAUACCAGUAUACUGGCAUUGAACCGAUCGUCGGCCAGUACGUUCCCCGAUACUGAUUCAGGGAACCUUGAUUAUAAUAAUCAUAAAUUUAAUAAUCUCUUUGAAAGUAUUCUAGUUCAUAAUAUUCUAAGAUCAAAAUAUCAGAAAUCAUGUAUUGUUGAUCUAAUCAUCAAAGUAAAGUUUAUAUAGAAAACUGAUCUUUUUAAGGACUAAAAUCAGGUUUCUUAAUAGAUCUGGAUUUUGAAUCCAUUUCGACUCGUCUUGAUGGGGCUUCAAUUAGACUCUCUUUGAGAUGCUAAAUUAGCUAGACUGCACAUCUCAAUCUUAUUUAGGUUUAUUUACUUAUUUCUUUGCAUAAAACCAAUCAAGGUUUUGAGUUAAGUCUUAGCAUCCAGCACCAUACAAAUGACUGAUUUUUGGGUAUACCCCCAUAGACAUGAGGCACACUACAAGAGCUGGCACAACACCUAUAUUUUCUCAGUAUCAAGGCAUACCAAGCCUCUGUAUUGUACUAGUAUCAAACCACGUCAGUACAGUACACCCCCUGCCGCCCAACACAGGUUGGUACUUAGAACCUUGGCAUAAGUAAAGAGGGGUGUGGCUGCAAUGUUGUAUGAAUUUAUUGAUGGUUGAAUUGACAAGUACUUUGAGCUGUAAUCUCAAAACUUUGAAUGGAACUGUGCACAAAUAAAUGUGAAAGAAAUAAGUCCUUGUGAUA
Molecule: long non-coding RNA, 962 nt
Filed under: Phoenix dactylifera (date palm)
Lineage: Eukaryota; Viridiplantae; Streptophyta; Magnoliopsida; Arecales; Arecaceae
Description: long non-coding RNA (PDAC_LNC016689)
Source: RNAcentral